Molecule: long non-coding RNA, 623 nt
Organism: Dromaius novaehollandiae (emu)
Lineage: Eukaryota; Metazoa; Chordata; Aves; Casuariiformes; Dromaiidae
Exons: 3
Source: RefSeq, a predicted model, not a curated record
UCCCUUUCAGACCGUAACAUCAGGCUCCACAAUUAAGAGCUUUUAUGCAUCAUGGAGUUCAGCAUCACUACGUGGAAGAAGCCAGCAGUUGCCUAACAGAGCAGGAUCCUCAGAGCUACAGGAGGCUGCUUUUGAACAUUCAUAGAGAAGAUGAUUUUACAGGACACACCACUGUGAUACCAUGGCAUGACUGGAAGGGCCAUAUACACAGAAGAAGGUCUCAGCUAUGCUCCCUAUCUGAGAAGACAUAAGUUGGGCUGGCAACUGUAGCAACAGGGGGUGGACUCUCUGUGCCAAACCUGCUACAUCAUCUGGCUCCAAAGAAAUCUCAGCUACUAAGUGGUUAGUACCAUGAAAAAUAAAAACCCACACCACCAGCAACAACAAAAAAACAGUAGCAAUGUUAACCCAUCUCAACUAUAGAAAUAGUUGUGCAGGGAAAAUCCAAAAGGACACAAACACGCACUGAAUACGUAUGGCCACUGGGUGUCAUUGUUUACUUCACCAUGUAACAUUUAUCCUUUUCUCUAUAAACAUGAAUUACUUCUGGAUGUAGUCAUGAAGGUGUAUUUAAUCAUUGUCUGAAAUUUGUUAUGUGUCCAUUAAUUAGCUAAAAUUAAACA